AUAUGCUUCACCAAAAAAAUAGAUAACCUUCCGCCAAUCCUCCACGCACGCACUACACGUUCUCCAUCUUCCUUCCUUCUUCCACACAACACUACUUCCACAGUUAAGGAUCGCUUUCUCUGCGCCGAAUUCAAAAGUUCAAUACCGAUUUCGAUCAAGUGUUCAAUUCCAAUCCACUUGAUCAAACCGAAAUUACCCAAACCAAAAUUAAAGAGUUCCCUUCAAUCUAAAUCCCAAUUUUUUUGUGUUUAAGCUUCUUCUCCAGCGAACGUUUCUCGGCUGCGACUGCAUUUUCGUCUUUCCUGGUGAACCUCAGGUGCAAAUUGGUUCACAUACUUUCACGAAUUACGUUUUCGGAAAUUGGGGAACGCCAUGUCUCGGAUUUUUGACAAAUCUGUUACCCCUUUAGUUGAUGCUUUGUGCAAGGGAUAUAAUGGAAUCGUCCUCACUUAUGGACAAGGAGGAAAGGGUCGGGGAAUAUUCCAAAGGUAGAAUUGAUGGACUAGAACCCAUAAGCUUCAUAACUGUUGCAAUUCCACAUCUGGGUUCACGAGGUCACAGACAGGGUUCUGAUAAGCGGCAAACGAGAUGGUUCCUUUGACACCUGCUGUAUUGAACCUUUCCGAGUUGUUUCUCUUGAAGAAGAUGUGAAGGAGCUUGAGAUCAAUAUUCCUAUGUCAAUCGUCCAUUGUGGUUUUAAGUGCAGCUCUCUCUUUGUAUUUCUCUUAGCUUGAUGGAGCUGAGAACUGCACAAGAAGUUUCAGUUCAAGUGCAGAGACCAAUAAUGUUUGCUCCAUUAUCACCUUGUUUUGGUGUUACUCCUGUGAUAAACAGAGAUAAAGCUUCUCCUUGUAAAUUCAAUCUAAGAAAAGUUAAAAGCUUGACAGAUUUUGUUUCAUCUAGAAAAUUGAAGAAGGCAUACCAUGGAGAAGGCACUUGUGACAGUAAGUUCUCUACUGGAAUUGAGGAUUCAGAAUCCCCUUUGACACAGACUCAUUUGGUGAUACCGAUGAGGGUGAUUCAGAGGAAACUAAGGAGGAUGUUGAUGUUCAAAAGUCCUGCAGUUAUGGCACUUUAUUACAUGCCAACUUCGCUAGAGGAGCACUUGACUUAGGAACCAAUUAUGGGGGCGAUGAUUUGGUUUAUUACAGAAGACAUAAACCAAAUGUAGACAUCUCACUUUCUCAAGAUUUUGGCACACCAAUCUCUGAACAAAUAAUCCAGAGGCAGAGUCCAAUAUUUGGUAUUUCAUGGACGAAAGGGAAGUUGAGUUUCAAAUGUCGUAGAGUCAAAGGAGAACCCUUGCUGAAGAAGGAUUAUGGCGAACAAGGUGGAGAUGAUAUUGAUUUUUAUUGCCGGCAGCUUUCCUCUGAUGAAUCCUUAGCGGGAGGAAAGGGCUGGGGAAGAUUGCAAAGGUAGAAUUGAUGGACUAGAACCCAUAAGAUUCAUGACUGUUGCAAUUCCACAUCUGGGUUCAGGAGGUCACAGACAGGUUGUUCCAGUACGUCCAAGGUGCCAAUCUGAAGUCCUAGAAUCCCCAUGAUAAAACCUGUGUUAACUAGCAUUGUUCCUGAAGCUGGACCUCCUCAUUCUUCAGCGUGUCUUGUUCACUUCUACUUGCAUGUUAAGUUCCAAGGAAGGGAAGAAAAUUGUCUUGUGGCCUCAACUGAUUUGGUUGUUGCAGGAAUCAUCGUACAUUCUACUGGCAUCUAUCUCUAAAGCAGUCAGUCACACUAGAUUCUCCAGAUUCAGAGUUGAUUAUUCACGAGCACUGAAAAUUGAAGAGGAUAAAAAUUUUCCGUUCUGAGUACAUCAAGAAUACAUUGACGACAGUUGCGGCAACCAAAGGAAGAGUCUUCUUAGCACCGAUUACUUAUGUUUUUCGACUGGGAUUUCUGUACAACGUUUUAAUUUUAUCUGUUUUCUAGUAUGUUUUUAUUCUAGUGUGUAUUUAGGCACAUAUGAUUUUAAGUUAUGCACGAGACAUCGAGACGUUUAUUUGAUAUGAUAGAAUGAAGUUGGAUCUUAUACAUAUUCAAUUUGUAAUAUUUAUUUAUUUAUUUAUUUAUUUAUUU
Molecule: long non-coding RNA, 2075 nt
Organism: Spinacia oleracea (spinach)
Lineage: Eukaryota; Viridiplantae; Streptophyta; Magnoliopsida; Caryophyllales; Amaranthaceae
Exons: 8
Source: RefSeq, a predicted model, not a curated record